UGUUGUACGGGAGUCCAUAAGUUCAGCCAUUAUCAUCACCUUAGUUCUCCUUUAAUAUACGGUACGAAGUACCUUGUUUAUUCGUACAAAAAGAGUCGUAUAUAUUUAGAAUGGUAAUCUAUCAGUUCACCAGUCAGGCUGUGCGAAAUUUGAAUUGUUGGUAGGGGUAAAAUAGUAUGGUGGGGAAGUCUUUAUGGCAGAUGGUAGUGGAAGAAGGAAAGGUACGAAGUGUUCAGUUACGAGUCACCCGUUUGCCAGUUUAGGUCUAUUGGUAAGAAAUGUUCAUUAUGUUCAAUAUAUUCGGAGAUCCCAAAGAUCCGAAUCAGAUAUGUAUUUGUUGCAAGAAUUCUUCAAGGAUUUAGUGACGCUGUUGAAAAAUGGCACUCUGUACGUGAGUUCUGGUCGCCUCGUUGCUGCUCUUGUCAAGGUCAUUUUGAAUUCGAGUAUGCCAAAAAGCAGUUGUUCUCAUAAUUACUGGAAAUUUGUUUUCGUACUUAUAAGCAGAAUAGUCAGAAUCGGGGAAGGUGACCACUGUCCUAUACUAAUAUGACUUUUACUACGUACAAUACUCAGUUGUACUGUAACAUAGAUCAUCAUUGGCUUGACAUCAAUGACAAAUGACAUUGAGUUAAUCUUCGAUCAUCGCAACUUUAAUCUCUUACAUUUUCGGCCUACGACAUGGACGCGUGUUUUGGAGCCACUAUGAAACUUCGUAAGUAGUGACUACAGGAAUUAUUAAUAAUUGAAGUCUUUCUAAUAUUCAUCAUACCGAGAACGAAAGAUUCUCGAAAGUUUGUAAUUUUUUCGAUAAAUUACUGACGUACAUCACCGUUAGUAAUUCUUCUUUUUGGAUUAAUUUAUGAAUAGUACGUUUUUAAUUGUGUAUUUUCAUUAUUCUUUUAUUAUGCGUAUCUAUUAGCUCGGGAUAGGGUCAGUACAAAUCGUUUAAUUAAUAGUGCAGUUAAUUAAUACUGUUUUUGUUCGUGUUUGCUUGCAGUAUGCGUAGUGACAUCGAGCAUUCCUUUACCUGAUAUCGUCAAAAAAAGUAUAUUAGGUGGUUUAUGUUGCACCCGUUAUUUCGUAUUUAGUCUAUUUAAUUACAAUCUAGCUCGAUAUAUUGAUAUCGUUAUACCAAAAAAUGAGUAAGAAGACAAACGCGACGAUUCGAUCGUGGGAAUUGGUUUUAUUCUUUUACAAGAACAGUUAUUUUUGGUGAAAGGGGUUACCGAGGCUUUUUAAUGAAGUGUGUUAAUAAAGGAUGAGUCUCAACAAAAUCGUUGUUUUCGGAAGAAUAAAAUAGAGUAAUAGUAAAAGAUAAAGUCAUUGCUGAAUAAAAAAGUUUGGAAAGUCAUCGCACAUGCACUAAAUAUUAGAUAGACUAUUGUGUCCUAUUUAUUCCUGUUAGUUUUCUCGUACUUUUUGCUCGUUUACGCAGGUAUUUUAUGAAUGAAAAAUAGUUUAAUUUCAGUUUUUAGUUUUCUUUUACUACCGAUUGCAAUAGUGAUUUGCACGAUGUAGUUUUGCCCUGAUGAAUCCGUGAAUUAGGUAGUCGAUUCUACAUCGUUACGUUAAAAUUUUAAUUACAUAUAUACAUACUUCUCGAAAAUAUUUCAUUAUUUAGAAUAUCAGAUUAAUCACGUAGUAAUGAAUAAAAAAAAAAUACUCGUGUUAUUGCGUAUAUAUGUAUAUCGGUACCUAUUAAUCUAUACUCGACGACUUUUUCGUUUAGGAGAAUUAAAAUGUUAAGACGACUUUGCGGAUAUUAGGUAAGCUUUUUACAGCUACUUUAAAACCAAGUAUCCAAAAAAUUUUGCUGAAUUUGUCUCUCGUGAAUGUUUUUGAAUAAAAAGAAAUGUUGCUUACGUUAUUCCUUGACCAAUAUUCUUGUAAAUUUGACAAUGGCAUGAUUCCCCUAUUUAUUAUUACUUCAAGAAAUGACCAGAAUUCUUCUUUGGCCAAACUCGCUAUAUCCAAUCCGACGAGAGCGUACUUCAUCGAUAACUUGAUUACUACUUUCAUCAUGAAGUGUUUUAUUACUUACGUAAUGAAAAAAAAAAUCAAUCUCAUUCUUACUUGAACCAAUUUCAUUUGUAGAAUCCAUUUUCGUAAAGCUUUGAAACUUUUCAAGCAAUAAUGGUUCUCCAACGAUCCUCGAAUCUGAACUGACAUCGGUAACUUUGUCGAAAAUAUGAUCACGAUCCAGAAUUCUUUCAAAUAAUCAAAUAAUUUUAUAGCCAUUUCGAGGUAUCACCCUACAAUUCUUAAAAGAAUAUAGAAAGGACAUAGGAAUUCGUUCAUGGUCCAGUAAUUCCUCGAGUUUUUAUUAUAUCUGAUAUAAACAAGCGUUGCUGCUCCUUGCGCACUACUUGAAUUGCUGCCUGAAACUGAGUGCGAAUGUUUACAUUGAAUUUAUUUCCUCGUGCAAAAAUAUAUUUGAACAUUAGAUUAAACAAAAUUAUAGUGGAAAAAUGAAAAAUAUUCUUAUGUUACUAGCAUGCUUUUACCUGUACUAUAUUUACUAAUUGACUAUGUUGUAGUACUUUCUGUACUUAUUUAUACUGAAAGUUGUACUUUGCACUAUAGUCAUUACUCUUGACAGUCAAUUUCGGUAACGUACUCUUAAUUAGUUACAAAUUGGAUACGUUUCACCUUCGAUAUCAGUAGUGUUUUCAUACAUUCUCUCUAAUUUUUACAUAUAACACAUAAGGUUUGUGUAAAAAUGAAGCGUUAUGUUGGAAUGAAUAUUUUGCUAUCUUUUAAAUAUAGGAAUGGAUAGACAAACAGCUUACUUUUCUCUAUGUUUAUUUAAUUUUAAAUUGUAGGUACGGAUAAAACGCAGAUCGUCGCUUAGUGAAAAUUCUCGUCUCUGGGGAUUUGUAAAAGAAAGUUUACGGUUAUUCACUAUGUUCUACAAUAUAUUCUGCAUUACGAGAUAUAUCAGUAUGAAAUAGUUUUUAAAACUUUGGAUAUGAAAUUCUUUUCUAUAAAAUUUAAGAAUUUGAUGUAUCUCAUACCUGUAUUAAGUAUAUCAACACUUCACACUUUCGUUUCUCUAGAAUAUUGCAAUUAUGAAAUCUAUUAUACAUGUUCUAUAUAUACUGUCAUUUAAUAUUUUCUCAUCAUGAAAAUGUGAAGUUAGCAAUAAGUAGUAAUGUAAUCUAGUUGAAAAUGUAUUUGCGUAUUCGAAUCAAUUUCAAUAAUAAAGUUUCAUUUCAUUGGUUUUGAUUAUUAAUCACGGGUUGGAUUAUUAAUCACAAAAUUUUCACGGGAAUAUUUGCAAUAUAAUCAUUUUAUAGAUGUUAGUUUUGUAUUCAAGUCUUGAAAACGUAUUUAUAAAUAAUUCAAGUAUGUUAUAAGUAAUCGGAGCUUUCAUAAACAGUACUCGUACCUUGGAAAUAGUGUUUCUAUAAUAGAAUUUAAAUAAUCCGUAUAAUGGUUAUCAUGGUAUUUUAUUCCUUUUUUUUUCUAUAAUAUUCCCUACCUUUGAGAAUUCUCUUUCUUCUGAUACAGAGGUUGCUAUUAUGCAACGUUAUUGACGUACAAUUCUUGUUAAAAUCGGAUAUUUAUUUGAAUUUAUUUACUAAAAUAAUAGCGGAUUCGCUUGGCGAUUUAUUGUCAUGUUAAAUAAUUUUCCAUUUCUAAUACAGUAGUCGAUGAACUAGGUAUAUUAUAAUUCAUAAUUAGUAUAAUUCAUAACUAGUCCUAUAACUAGUGUAUAACAUAACUAGUUCACUUUAAAAAGAUAACCAGAAGAAUUCGUUUUCCUUCUGAUUUAUGAAUGUUUGUCUAAUAUCAGAUAUUAUGAGUAGAUAGUCAUUGUGAAUAUAAUUUGUAGCUGUAUCAAUUAAUGCGUCCCAUUUCCGAGAAACAUAUUCGAUUUUAGAAAAAAAUAAUUUAAAUCGUGGAUCUAAUAAUGCACUUAACAUAUAAAAACAAUUGUUUUCAAUAUCAUUUAAAUAAUAAUGUGCGUAAUGUAUCAGAUUGUGUUAUAAAAUAUGUUCCAAAACUAAAAUCAUUACUAGAAACAUAUAAAAGAGCAAUUAUUUGUUUUUUAAUUGCUACUAUUUUGGAUAAUUUUACACUUUUUCGUUACUAAUUUCUUUAGUAAUUAAAAAAAAAUUCUUAAUAAGGGAGUAAUAAUACUAAGCGCAUUCAAUCUGAAUCUGUUAAUAAUUCGAAGAUGUAUUUUAUUGAUACUAAAGUUUAUUUUACGUGUCAAUUACGACAAUUUCAGUUCUAUUAAUCUUUGAAACAUCUAAUAUAUGAAAUUCUAUCGCAUUUUUAUUAUUAAUAAUCUAUUAUUAAUUUAUAAUCGGAUAUACUAACUUAAUUUUGGAUUUCUUACAAUUUAUCUGACGUGACAGUAUCGCGUUUACAAUAGUCAUUGAUAUUUGUCAAUGCGGCAGAUAUCACGUAUAUUUACUUACUAUUAAAUUAACGUGUAUGCAGAACAUAGGACAUUAAUUCUUGAUGAAUCGAAUAAUUUAAUUGCAGCUUUUAUAUUCGUUGCAUUUUCAUUAACUACAUCUUUAUAUCUAUUAUUUAGUUAGUUUUUUAGUUGUUUUAUACUUAGAUAAUAUCUUAGAUUAAAAAAUUUGAUCAAUGGAAUGAAUGCUGAGUUUUCCAUUACAGAUAGUGAUUGAAGAUCAACGGUAAUUAAAUUGUUCAUCAAAGAAUCAAUUUUCUUUUUCCUCAUAUUAUGCUUUAAAAGAAAUACUAUUAUUGUAAUGAUUUAGGAAAUAUUUUUAUACAUAAUUCAAUUGUGUAUUAAUAACUAAAAUUAUAUAAAAUUAAAAUAGUAUCAUAAGGGUACGAGUCAUACUGGAAUCUUUGUCACCCAUUGAAAUUUUAUGCACUUUCGUAUGUUUGAUAAGAUUAGUUGUACACUUAUCAUAUUUGAGUUUUUUCUUAUAUGUUUGGUACACAUAAGAAUUGUUAGAAAAAAAAUAUUGCUAAACCCAAAACCGUUUAGGCAUAUUGCUUUAACUACUUUAACACUCAUUCAUUAGAAUACUUGAAUAAUAAUUGACAGUCUGUUGUUUCUAAUAAUAUGAAUAAAUUAUUGAUAGGACCUUUAGCAGAAUGCGAACAAUAGUUUAUUUUAUCUGAAAUAUUUGUAAGCAUAUUUACGUAUAGAAUAUAUAUAUAUAUAUAUAUAUAUAUAUAUAUAUAUAUAUAUAUGUGUGUGUUAUAUUAUAUUAUAGACAUUUAUAAGCAUACUUAAGUAAGGUAAAUACAGUAGUGCAUUUUUGGCACGGAUAUUUAAUUUUGCGAAGUAGUUUAUUGACAGUAUUUCUAGGUCAGUCAUUAGCAAAUUUUGUUUUGCUAUUGAAAACAUAUUCUUAAUAAAACGAAUAUCUACUUGUAUUUAUAUUGGUGUGUGGACAUUAUAUUACAGAUGUAGUUCUGUAAAACUUUUAGGCAAGUACAUCAGCCAUCUUUUUAUUUUUUAUCUUCGACAGGUAGGGUUAACUUAUAAUAACGACGCUUCUUUUUAAUAUAUUCAUAUAGUUGGAAUGUUAGACCUUACGUAUGAAACAAAAGAUUUUGUAAAAUUUUGCGAACUAUUCAUAUUUUAAAAUAUAGAUCGCGUUUUGAAUGUUCUUAUAUUGCAAGAUAUGAUUCUAUAUACAUUCUUAAAUUUCGGAAUCCACCAUUUACUUGCUUUGAAUUCAGAUAAAUACACUGUCUUUUUCCUCCAAAACCCACGAUUUCAAAUUUAUGUCAUGGAUAAUAGAUCUGUCACAAUUAAUAAAUUUCUGUUAUUUUAGUAGUAAACGGAUCAUAGCAAAAUAUUUCAAUUUUCUUUUCGUGUUUUUAAUUGCUAUAUACAAUUAAUAAUUGUUUGUAUACCAUUUGUAGAUAAUUAUUAAACUGUAUAGUAUAAUAGUAUUGCAGCUUUUAUUUGCAUGUAUGGUGAUUAGAAGUUGAUUUCGAGUUGGUUUAUGAAGUCUUUUCUCGAAUAGAUUUAUACUGAUUUGAUGUGUCUUUGAGGAAUUUAUAAUAUCUUCUUCAACUGAUGAUAUUUUUAGGAUUUCCCAAAUAUCAUCGUCUCUAACGAACCGAGGUGCAUUCAGAACAGUACGUAGAAUAAUAGAAUAAUAGUAGGUUUUCCAUUUCUUUAUGUUGGAUUUGCCAUGUCCCAGAUUUGCAAGCCAUCUUCGUUUCCGAUGGGCUUUAAAAUGAUAUUGCUUAUUAACACCUUAUUGGUUGUACUCAGUUUGAAAUUUUUUGAAGUACUGUAUCCUUUUGAAUUUUUUAUUUAGUACACGCAUCUUCUUGUAUUUUUUAUUUAUUUGAUUUUUUCCUGGAUAUAUUUUUUCCAGUUUAUUUUACUAUAUAGGUGGAGGCUAAAAUAUUUAACAAAGUUAAUUUAUGGGUCUGUUAUGUUUUGGAAUUUAAUUUUUCAAAUAGAAUUUUAAGUAUAAUUAUUAUAUGCGAGCAUUUGUUUAUUUUAUUUUAAUUUUAUUGGAUUGUGUCUAGUUUUCCAUUUUGUAUAGAUGGUUUUAUAGAAUUUUUGUUGCAGUUUCUAUUUCUUAUGUACGAAAACGAUACGUAUCAUCGAUAAAGAUGUAUAUUUCUGUGGCAGGUGUGGAUGAAAAAUCAAUUAUGAAGAAAGAGAGUAGAAUAAGGCUUAAGAUGCUUCCUUGAGGUAGUCCGACAUGUAUUUUUUUUUUUUUUUUUAACGAAAAGUUUACGUUUCCGAUUUUGACGUAAAAAUAUCUGUUUGAAAAGUAAGAAGUAUAUAAGUGGAUAUAGGUUUUUUGAGAAGGAUACUCGUAGUUUCUUUAAUAGCCUUUUGUGCCAGAUUUUAUCGAAAGCUUUUUUCAUGUCAAAAAAUAAUGCAGUGUAGUAGCAACUGUCUUCCUCAGUGGAUCUAAUUAUUUUGUUUACCAUAUAUUUGCUCGAUCAUGUUGUUUUUUCUAAAUUCGGAUUGAUGAUCCAGGAUCAGUUGUUUAGCAAUGAUUUCUUUUUUUGGCCUUUUAUUUAUUGUUUUUUUCAUUAAUUUGCAGAUAGCAGAAGAGUUAUUGGCCUAUAUGAUGAUGGUGAUCUGGGGUUUUUACCUGGCUUUUGUAGCAGGAUUAUUUCAACACAUUUCCAAAUCUGCAAAAAAUAACCAAUCCUGAGUUAGUUAAAAUGGUUAUAUAUCUGAUUGCCUAAAAUGGUUAUAUAGCCGAUGCUUCUUUUAGCAUUUUCAUUGUUAUAAGAUUGUAUUCGGAAGAUUUAUUAAUCUUCAAAUUUUUGUUUAUAAAUGUGACUUCAUUUAUUUUAAUUGCUUCAUAGGUUAGCUAUUUUUCAUUAUCGUUAUGAGAUGAAAUAUGUGGUUCAUUUGUAAAUACGUUUUACUGUUCUUUACCGUUUUCAAGACAUUUUACGGAGAAGAAAAUUUUGAUUUUUUUUUUCAAAAGAUGAUUUCACCCUUUAGAAUUGAAUUAUAAUAUGAAAAAAUAAGAUUACAUCAUGGAUUACAUACUUUACUUGUAGCAAAAUUUCAGAAUUUUUUGAAUUUCAGUUUUCACUCUUAAGUUGUUUUUAUUUAUUUUGCUAUAGGAAUAAGGUAUAUUCUUUCUAAAGCAUUGUUCAUAUCUUCAUUUUUUUAUGUACUCGAGCCUACUGAAAACAUUUGUACAUAUUUUUAAGUAGAUGAGAAAUACGUCCGAAAGUUCUUGAAUAUUAUUUUUAUAGUUUUUAGAAAAGUCUUCUAUCAUUUUCAUUAGGAUAUAAUAAAGUCGAGAACGUGAUAAUUUUUUCCAAAAAGUAUUCAUGUCAUUUUUGAUUACAUGAUUUGUAGAUUUAAGAUUAUUGUCGAUAUAUGGAGUAAUUAGAUCAAAUUACCAAUUCUUAUCCAUUUUGAUUUUUAUCGAACCAUUCAUCUUGGAAGUAUUUUAAGAAAAUGAAUUCAUGUGCCCACUUUUUUACGUAAAGCUCAUAACGUAAAAAUUUAGGUAAAGCUUGUAUUUCUCGUACAUCUUUUUAUAUGUGCUCAAUACGUUAGAACAAUGGCUUCUCUAGCGAAUACAUUUUUAUAUCUAUUCCCGAUGUAUAAGCAAUCAAAACGUUUAGUCUCAAAGUUGUAAAUUAUUUGAACUGCUUGCUUCAAACUCUGAAAAAUAAAAUCAUAAAUUUUUUCGUUACUGCAAACUGCUACACCAAGAAGAUUAAAUUUCCUGUUAUGAUCUGCAGUAACUACUAAAAGAAUUUGCCAAAUAAGCUUGUAAUGUAAUUAACACCUGCAUGAAUAAUACUAUCUUCUUUUAAGAUUACGCAUGCAAUAAAGCUUAAGAUCUGUAACUUCAGCGAUGGAUGUGGAAAAAAAUGAACUAAAAGCGCGUUAAAAUACCUGUCUCCUUUUUCAAUUUAUCGAAUGAAUUAUGUAGGUACGUUGUACCCUCCAGAGUAGGUAAAUUGAAGAACUAAGUUGAUUACGAGACAUCAGAAAUAAUGUAUGAACAGUUGCUACAGAGUUAAUACGUAUUUUAUAAGAUAAAUGAAACAUGCAAUUUCUAGAUAGACUCGAUGAUGUUGAGUGCAUUAUAUUUUUGCAUUUGCCUAAAGCCAUUCAUUAUAAUAAUAAAAUGGUAAUAAUAUUAUUUAAAUAUAUUUAUAAAUUGUUCCGUCACAAAAAAGUACUGAAAUUCUUGACCCUUCGUUUAUCUUGUUAUUUCGUUUCGUCCCAAAUGUUCCUUUUAAAUGUUUUAGUUUUAAAUAUUUUUAGAAAACAACAAAGAAAGAGAUAAAUACAUCAUGGAAAUUAAUAAUCUUAUUGCGAUAGACAUAUAAAACUAAAUGUAGAUUUAAAUUUUAAAUGAUCGACAGUGACUAACGCGCGAAUUGUGAAUAGUUGAUUCAUGAUAAGUUAAAUCAUGAAUGGUUUUCCUCGCGACGCAAUACGAAGUAUCGAUAAAACAGAAAGAUAACAGUAAAUUCGUGAUAACGUAUCUUAGGCUAUUGUUAUAAGCUAUUGUAUCAUAGGCUAUUGAUGAUGCUUGUAUCGAUGGACGCACAAUAUACAUAUGCAUGGUAAUGUGGCAAAUGAAAAUCAUUUCUCCUAUUGUAUUAAUUAUAAUCAAAAUUCUACGUAUAUAGAUACGUAGGAUAUGUAGUAUAGCUAUACAUAUGUAGCAUGUGAGUUGUGUGAAAGAGAAGGUUUAUGACAAAUAGAGAGAAAGACAAAUCCUUGAAGGAAAUGCUAAUGUGUGUAAGAUUCCAGAGAAAAUCGACGUAGUGAAUUUUAAAACAACUGAAUUUGGUUCAAGAAACUGUAUAAAUUCUGGAUUUUUUUGAAAGAUUCGAAAAGAGAAAUGCGCCACCGAACGAAGACAUGAUCAUGAUUAUAUGUUGGUCAAAUAUGAGGACAUAGUUUUUCUUACAAACAUCGUUUUGUGGGUUUUUUUCGGCUAAUGAUAAAUGUCCGCAUGUUUAUGUAAAUAAUCUAAUAACAUAUUUCGAAAUAACAACGAGCAUGAAUAUCAAGUCAAAAAUGGCAAAUAAUAUUAAAAGACAAUUGUGUUUAAAAUAAUCUAAAAGAAAUAUCGUGCGGAAGGAUUAGAGAAAUAUAUACAUUAGUUUUUAGUUAUACAAAUCACUAACAAGUAAACGUGCUAUAAUAAACAUUAUGUUAUUCUGAAUAACAAUUAUCACUGAUGGAUUAUAAACAAUGAUAUAUGUUUAAAUAAUGUAUUCAUUAUAAGUAUAAUUGUUAAAAAAUUUAUAAUUUAAUUGUUUCUUCAAAGUAACGUAAUAGACACAAAUUAGACACAACUUACAUGCAUGACUUUCUCGAUAUAGUAUAACGUAACGAUACAAACAUAUUUGCAUGUUUCGUCCGAAUUUGAUGAUCAAGGAUUUAUUCGAAAGAUAAAGGUUUUUACACGAGACAAUCGUGUCUAAUUUUUUAAAAAUAUUAUUUCUAUAUCAUGUAUAACAUCGUGUAUAAAAAUAGGCAAACUUGAAGAGUAAUUUUCACAUAAGUACAAGCCUAUUGUUUUGAAAAUCCUCGCCUCCUCCUUUGUAGCUUUCGACAUUAGUCUUUACGCUAUAUUACGGAAGGCUUUAAGUACAAUAAUAUGGUAUUUUACUCAUUUAUUACUUGUGCAGCAUGAUAUAUCUAUCGCGGCAUAAAGUUCUUUUAAUUACGAAUAUUCGCCAUCUGUAGAUAUUAUUCCGGAUACCAUCCAUAGGGGUAUUAGCAUUCGAAUUUUUUUCUGAUGUAUCAUUAAUCUCAACUUUAUUAAUCAAAGCGGAUAUAUUACAUUUUAAUUUCACGAUGCUAAUAAAACUAUUGCGGGAUUCUGAAAUUGAAUAGAUAUCCGCAAAUAUACAAGGGAAAAGACAUCCACCCCUAUUGACAAAAUGCUAUUUAUAAAGUACGAAAUUGUACUAUUCGACGUCAUGAUAAUCGAAACAAAUAUUUAUCAGUAUUCAUAUUUGAUAUAUGUUCUAUUUGCAGAGCAGAUGGAGAAGAUUUAGAAAUAUUCGUGCUUAUCUGUAUGUACAGACUCCAAAUAUGGAUUUUGUAAAUUUCCAGUUUUGUUCGAUGUGCUAUCCUAUUUUUUUUCUUUUUUUUGAUUUAAAUAUUGAAAAAUUUUUUUCUUUUCUUCUUCCAGUAAUUGUUCAAUAUCGGUGUAUUUUCCCUGUUUUUCUUGCUUCUUGUAAGAUUCUCUUUUCUCGGUUGCAUAUUUUUUUUACAAAUCAUUCCAAAAAAAAAAAAAAAAAAAAAAAGAAA
Molecule: long non-coding RNA, 10726 nt
Organism: Vespula vulgaris
Lineage: Eukaryota; Metazoa; Arthropoda; Insecta; Hymenoptera; Vespidae
Exons: 3
Source: RefSeq, a predicted model, not a curated record